This 333-nucleotide ribosomal RNA is filed under the name Rhynchelmis gustafsoni. Its description in RNAcentral is "partial 16S ribosomal RNA". It matches the Rfam family "Bacterial large subunit ribosomal RNA", at positions 1959 to 2527 of the family's 2925-position model. Lineage: Eukaryota; Metazoa; Annelida; Clitellata; Lumbriculida; Lumbriculidae. The record is from RNAcentral. RNAcentral also lists the same sequence under 1 other name.
GCAUAAUCAUUUGCCCGUUAAUUGCGGGCUAGUAUGAACGGGUAAACGAAAUAGAACCUGUCUCAAUUAAACUAACAAAAAUUAGCCUCUAGAUGAAGAGAUCUAAAUACAAUUGAAGGACAAGAAGACCCUAUAGAGCUUUACUUUAUUAAGCUAUUAAAAUAACUUAUACAGUUCGGUUGGGGCGACCUAGGAAACACAUAUCAUCCUAUAACACGAAGAUUUACAUAUCUUUAUAUAUGACCCUAUAAUAGAUCAAAGGAAUAAGCUACCUUAGGGAUAACAGGCUAAUCCUCCCACAGAGACCUUAUCAACAGGAGGGAUUGGCACCUC